RNAcentral lists this small RNA (106 nucleotides) under Marmota monax (woodchuck). Lineage: Eukaryota; Metazoa; Chordata; Mammalia; Rodentia; Sciuridae. The record is from RNAcentral.
GCUGGGCGCAGUGACGCACGCCUGUCAUCCCAGCAGCUUGGGAGGCUGAGGCAGGAGGAUCACAGGUUCCAGCCAGCCUCAGCAACUUGGAGAGACCCUGUCUCAG